UACGUAGGGUGCAAGCGUUAAUCGGAAUUACUGGGCGUAAAGCGUGCGCAGGCGGUUGUGUAAGUCAGAUGUGAAAUCCCCGGGCUCAACCUGGGAAUGGCAUUUGAGACUGCACAGCUAGAGUGUGUCAGAGGGGGGUAGAAUUCCACGUGUAGCAGUGAAAUGCGUAGAGAUGUGGAGGAAUACCGAUGGCGAAGGCAGCCCCCUGGGAUAACACUGACGCUCAUGCACGAAAGCGUGGUGAGCAAACAGG
This 253-nucleotide ribosomal RNA is filed under the name uncultured bacterium. RNAcentral describes it as "partial 16S ribosomal RNA". It matches the Rfam family "Bacterial small subunit ribosomal RNA", at positions 524 to 776 of the family's 1533-position model. The record is from RNAcentral.